GAAACCAUCAGUGCAUCUCUCCGAGUUCUCGAAGACGAGCAUUAAGCAGGACCGAAACAAACGUCCCUCGCAUACCAAGGAGCUGAUUCAGUGAUGGAGGGAUUUGUGGAGCAGAGCAGAGCUCAAUUAGCUAAUUUCAAGAUAUGCAUACUGGAGAAAAACCAUACUACUGUGAUGACUGUGGAAAAAGCUUCACUCACUCAAGUCAUUUGAAGAUAAACCAGUGCAUCCCACGCAGGAGAGAAAUGUUAGAUCUGCCACAGAGCUGAUUCACUGAUGGAGGGAUUUGUGGAGCAGAGUAACACCAGCAGCCAAAUGCUGACAGUGGCAGAGGUAAGUCACUUUAACCUGACACAUUAGAUAAGAAGACAUGGCAUUCCAAGAAAGCUGAAUAGAAACCUAUAGGAGAAUCCUGUAAAGAUGCCCUAACCCCAAAAAGCCAAUCAAAAGGCCAAAACAUAUAUAAGUCAAAGCCCUACUUCUGUCAUGAAUGUGGAAAGAGCUCGCUCAGUCAAUUCAUUUGAAGAUACAUCAGUGUACCCACACUGGAGAAAAAGCCCCAUUACUGUCAUGAGUUCAACAAGAGUUUCAGUCACUCAUCAGCGUUGAAGCAUCAUCAGCGUAUCCGCUCAGGAGAGAAACGUUAGAUCUGUCACAAGUAUAGGAUGUGUUUCAGCGACCUGCAACAUCCCAAAAAGACCUCAG
Molecule: non-coding RNA, 705 nt
Organism: Neolamprologus brichardi
Lineage: Eukaryota; Metazoa; Chordata; Actinopteri; Cichliformes; Cichlidae
Source: RefSeq, a predicted model, not a curated record